Molecule: ribosomal RNA, 469 nt
Filed under: uncultured Xanthobacteraceae bacterium
Lineage: Bacteria; Pseudomonadati; Pseudomonadota; Alphaproteobacteria; Hyphomicrobiales; Xanthobacteraceae
Description: bacterial SSU rRNA
Rfam family: Bacterial small subunit ribosomal RNA
Source: RNAcentral
CGGGGCCGCACAAGCGUGGAGCAUGUGGUUUAAUUCGAAGCAACGCGCAGAACCUUACCAGCUCUUGACAUGUCCCGUAUGGGUUUCAGAGAUGAGACCCUUCAGUUCGGCUGGCGGGAACACAGGUGCUGCAUGGCUGUCGUCAGCUCGUGUCGUGAGAUGUUGGGUUAAGUCCCGCAACGAGCGCAACCCUCGGCCUUAGUUGCCAUCAUUCAGUUGGGCACUCUAAGGCGACUGCCGGUGAUAAGCCGGAGGAAGGUGGGGAUGACGUCAAGUCCUCAUGGCCCUUACGGGCUGGGCUACACACGUGCUACAAUGGCGGUGACAGAGGGAUGCGACGGGCGCGAGCCUUGGCAAAUCUCAAAAAAGCCGUCUCAGUUCGGAUUGGGGUCUGCAACUCGACCCCAUGAAGUUGGAAUCGCCAGUAAUCGCGGAUCAGCACGCCGCGGUGAAUACGUUCCCGGGCCUU